This 335-nucleotide long non-coding RNA is filed under the name Capsella rubella. Its description in RNAcentral is "long non-coding RNA (CRUB_LNC003235)". The record is from RNAcentral. Lineage: Eukaryota; Viridiplantae; Streptophyta; Magnoliopsida; Brassicales; Brassicaceae.
UACUGAUGAAAAGGAUACUGAGAGAUCAAUUUUUCUUGAGUUGGCGACAUUAUCUAUUCUAAGGUCGGCACAUUCAGGUAAUCUCAAUGCCCUUCUUUGUUUUACCUUACUCGAUUAUGGAGGGAUUGAAAUCCAACAGUUAAAGAACCAGAGAUGUCACAGUGCAGAUCAAUGAUGAUGAAGAAAUGAAGUAUCAAUCUCUUAAAUAUGCACAGCCAGAAGCUGGCUGUUUGGUAAUUAAGAUUCACAGGUUGAUAAUCAGGUUAGUCUUGAUUUUAUAUUUGCUCAUAUAGUCAUAUACUUGAAGCACCAUGAGUCUUUUUACAUUGAUAUAU